GCGCACUGCGCAGCACGUACACUAACAUUGGAACGACACAGAGCUUAGCAUGGCCCCUGCGCAAGGAUGACACGCAAAUUCAGGAAGCGUUCCAUACUAAA
Small nuclear RNA from Myotis lucifugus (little brown bat), 101 nucleotides. Lineage: Eukaryota; Metazoa; Chordata; Mammalia; Chiroptera; Vespertilionidae. The record is from Ensembl.